UGGGGAAUUUUGGACAAUGGGCGAAAGCCUGAUCCAGCAAUGCCGCGUGUGUGAAGAAGGCCUUCGGGUUGUAAAGCACUUUUGUCCGGAAAGAAAUCCUUGGCUCUAAUACAGUCGGGGGAUGACGGUACCGGAAGAAUAAGCACCGGCUAACUACGUGCCAGCAGCCGCGGUAAUACGUAGGGUGCGAGCGUUAAUCGGAAUUACUGGGCGUAAAGCGUGCGCAGGCGGUUUGCUAAGACCGAUGUGAAAUCCCCGGGCUCAACCUGGGAACUGCAUUGGUGACUGGCAGGCUAGAGUAUGGCAGAGGGGGGUAGAAUUCCACGUGUAGCAGUGAAAUGCGUAGAGAUGUGGAGGAAUACCGAUGGCGAAGGCAGCCCCCUGGGCCAAUACUGACGCUCAUGCACGAAAGCGUGGGGAGCAAACA
This 427-nucleotide ribosomal RNA is filed under the name Burkholderia contaminans. Its description in RNAcentral is "partial 16S ribosomal RNA". It matches the Rfam family "Bacterial small subunit ribosomal RNA", at positions 355 to 774 of the family's 1533-position model. Lineage: Bacteria; Pseudomonadati; Pseudomonadota; Betaproteobacteria; Burkholderiales; Burkholderiaceae. RNAcentral also lists the same sequence under 3 other names. The record is from RNAcentral.